AUUGAACGCUGGCGGCAGGCCUAACACAUGCAAGUCGAGCGGAUGAAGGGAGCUUGCUCCUGGAUUCAGCGGCGGACGGGUGAGUAAUGCCUAGGAAUCUGCCUGGUCGUGGGGGCUAACGUCCGGAAACGGGCGCUAAUACCGCAUACGUCCUGAGGUAGAAAGUGGGGGAUCUUCGGACCUCACGCUAUUAGAUGAGCCUAGGUCGGAUUAGCUAGUUGGUGGGGUAAAGGCCUACCAAGGCGACGAUCCGUAACUGGUCUGAGAGGAUGAUCAGUCACACUGGAACUGAGACACGGUCCAGACUCCUACGGGAGGCAGCAGUGGGGAAUAUUGGACAAUGGGCGAAAGCCUGAUCCAGCCAUGCCGCGUGUGUGAAGAAGGUCUUCGGAUUGUAAAGCACUUUUAGUUGGGAGGAAGGGCAGUAAGUUAAUACCUUGCUGUUUUGACGUUACCAACAGAAUAAGCACCGGCUAACUUCGUG
Molecule: ribosomal RNA, 484 nt
Filed under: uncultured bacterium
Lineage: Bacteria
Description: partial 16S ribosomal RNA
Rfam family: Bacterial small subunit ribosomal RNA
Source: RNAcentral